GACGAACGCUGGCGGCGCGCUUAACACAUGCAAGUCGAGCGAGAACCGGGACUUCGGUCCCGGGGACAGCGGCGAACGGGUGAGUAACACGUGGGUAAUCUGCCCUCGAUUCUGGGAUAGCCCGGGGAAACCCGGAUUAAUACCGGAUAGCCUUUCGAGCCUUCGGGCGCGAAAGAAAAGGUAGCUUCGGCCUCCGAUCGAGGAUGAGCCCGCGGUGGAUUAGCUUGUUGGCGGGGUAAUGGCCCACCAAGGCCACGAUCCAUAGCUGGUCUGAGAGGACGAUCAGCCACACUGGGACUGAGACACGGCCCAGACUCCUACGGGAGGCAGCAGUGGGGAAUCUUGCGCAAUGGGCGAAAGCCUGACGCAGCGACGCCGC
RNAcentral lists this ribosomal RNA (379 nucleotides) under uncultured bacterium. RNAcentral's name for it is "bacterial SSU rRNA". It matches the Rfam family "Bacterial small subunit ribosomal RNA", at positions 28 to 400 of the family's 1533-position model. The record is from RNAcentral.